RNAcentral lists this long non-coding RNA (253 nucleotides) under Ananas comosus (pineapple). Its description in RNAcentral is "long non-coding RNA (ACOM_LNC042723)". The record is from RNAcentral. Lineage: Eukaryota; Viridiplantae; Streptophyta; Magnoliopsida; Poales; Bromeliaceae.
ACAAAAUAUGUUUUAAACGACGCUUUUUUUAGACGACGCUUUAUUCUAGCGUCUUUAAUAUUCGACAUUUGCCGACACUAUGAUUAUGUGUCGCCAAUAAACAUAUUUUUAUCAAAUAUUUAUAAAAAUUUUUCGACGCAAUAUUAAAACGUCGGUAUAUUUAUCCCGACAUGUUUACUUAACGACUCUUUACUCGACGCUUUUACAAGCGUCGAGAUUAUUUUUGCCGACGCUUUAAACCGUCACUAAUUAU